Long non-coding RNA from Manihot esculenta (cassava), 451 nucleotides. RefSeq lists it as uncharacterized. The transcript has 2 exons. NCBI's taxonomy places the organism in Eukaryota, Viridiplantae, Streptophyta, Magnoliopsida, Malpighiales, Euphorbiaceae. The record is from RefSeq and is a predicted model, not a curated record.
GAUACAACACAGGGGACAGAGUAGUAAAGAGUUUGGUCAGAAAAUGGAACUCACGCAUUUUGUUCUCAUACAUAUCACCAAGCUCAAGCCCUUGCUCUGCAGCGCUGGGCCUCCAAUAUUAUUGGCUCAAAAUCAAAGAAAACUGAUCUCCGAAGACAAAAAGCGGUGGCGAUUCGAGAGAGCUGUGAAGUCCUCCUCCUCCAUAUGUACAUAUAAAAUACUCAAAAACGAUUGCAGCUGCCUUUUCCAUAAUACACUCAAUCCCCAUCUCAUCGUUCAGACAACAAGGAUGGGAACUACUUUCCUGUUCAAUAAAAGUGGGGUAGUCUAUGUCAAUGACAAGCUGGAUCAUAAAUUAUAUGUCUUUUAAAAAAGAAAUUGGAGAACUUUAUUUGUAAAAAUUAUUAUUAAAUCUCCAAAAUUAAUUAGUUAAUUUUUUUAUUAAAAUAUU